UACGUAGGGGGCAAGCGUUAUCCGGAAUUACUGGGUGUAAAGGGAGCGUAGACGGUGAUGUAAGUCUGGAGUGAAAGGCGGGGGUCCAACCCCCGGACUGCUCUGGAAACUAUAUGACUGGAGUGCAGGAGAGGUGAGCGGAAUUCCUAGUGUAGCGGUGAAAUGCGUAGAUAUUAGGAGGAACACCAGUGGCGAAGGCGGCUCACUGGACUGUAACUGACGUUGAGGCUCGAAAGCGUGGGGAGCAAACAGG
RNAcentral lists this ribosomal RNA (253 nucleotides) under uncultured bacterium. RNAcentral describes it as "partial 16S ribosomal RNA". It matches the Rfam family "Bacterial small subunit ribosomal RNA", at positions 524 to 776 of the family's 1533-position model. The record is from RNAcentral.